This 495-nucleotide ribosomal RNA is filed under the name uncultured bacterium. RNAcentral's name for it is "partial 16S ribosomal RNA". It matches the Rfam family "Bacterial small subunit ribosomal RNA", at positions 28 to 507 of the family's 1533-position model. The record is from RNAcentral.
GACGAACGCUGGCGGCGUGCCUAAUACAUGCAAGUAGAACGCUGAAGGAGGAGCUUGCUCUUCUGGAUGAGUUGCGAACGGGUGAGUAACGCGUAGGUAACCUGCCUGGUAGCGGGGGAUAACUACUGGAAACGAUAGCUAAUACCGCAUAACAGUAGAUGUUGCAUGACAUUUACUUAAAAGGUGCAAUUGCAUCACUACCAGAUGGACCUGCGUUGUAUUAGCUAGUUGGUGGGGUAACGGCUCACCAAGGCGACGAUACAUAGCCGACCUGAGAGGGUGAUCGGCCACACUGGGACUGAGACACGGCCCAGACUCCUACGGGAGGCAGCAGUAGGGAAUCUUCGGCAAUGGACGGAAGUCUGACCGAGCAACGCCGCGUGAGUGAAGAAGGUUUUCGGAUCGUAAAGCUCUGUUGUAAGAGAAGAACGAGUGUGAGAGUGGAAAGUUCACACUGUGACGGUAUCUUACCAGAAAGGGACGGCUAACUACGUG